GUAGGUGGCAAGCGUUGUCCGGAAUUAUUGGGCGUAAAGCGCGCGCAGGCGGUCCUUUAAGUCUGAUGUGAAAGCCCACGGCUCAACCGUGGAGGGUCAUUGGAAACUGGGGGACUUGAGUGCAGAAGAGGAGAGUGGAAUUCCACGUGUAGCGGUGAAAUGCGUAGAGAUGUGGAGGAACACCAGUGGCGAAGGCGACUCUCUGGUCUGUAACUGACGCUGAGGCGCGAAAGCGUGGGGAGCGAACAGGAUUAGAUACCCUGGUAGUCCACGCCGUAAACGAUGAGUGCUAAGUGUUAGAGGGUUUCCGCCCUUUAGUGCUGCAGCUAACGCAUUAAGCACUCCGCCCUGGGAGUACGGUCGCAAGACUG
This 371-nucleotide ribosomal RNA is filed under the name uncultured organism. Its description in RNAcentral is "partial 16S ribosomal RNA". It matches the Rfam family "Bacterial small subunit ribosomal RNA", at positions 527 to 896 of the family's 1533-position model. The record is from RNAcentral.